RNAcentral lists this ribosomal RNA (495 nucleotides) under Triticum aestivum (bread wheat). Its description in RNAcentral is "partial small subunit ribosomal RNA". Lineage: Eukaryota; Viridiplantae; Streptophyta; Magnoliopsida; Poales; Poaceae. The record is from RNAcentral.
AUGCUGUUCACAUUCUCUCUCAGAGAUGCUGCUAAGGACUGGUACUAUUCUUUGCCAUCAAGAUCAUACACUUGGGGUGAUAUUUCGCAAGCUUUCCUGCACAGAUAUUUUCCACUUUACAAGCAAGCUGCAAUUCGUGACCAGAUCCUCAGUUUUGCGCAAGAUGGAAGUGAGAGCUUGUAUGCAGCUUGGGAGAGAUAUAAGUAUUUGCUUAGAAAAUGUCCUAAUCAUGGGCAAAAGGAUUGGUUAGUGCUCCAGAUAUUCUAUAGAGGGCUGACACAUGCUUCAAGAGAUCUUAUUGAUAUGACAGCUGGUGGAACAAUCAUGAACAAGACCGUUGAGGGUGCAAUUAUUCUCAUUGAGAGCAUUGCCUUCCACCAAAUGCAAUGGGGUUAUGAAAGGCCUAGUUCAAAUCCGAAGGUUGCAAGCCAUCUGCAAUCAGAAGCUGUGUGUUCCAUAAGUGAACAGAAAUCAUCCAUGGUGCCUAAUAUUUGA